AGUGAACGCUGGCUGUAGGCCUAACACAUGCCAGUCGAACGGCAGCACCGUCAGAGCUUGCCUUUACGUGUGGCUCGUGGCGGACGGGUGAGGAUUACAUCUGUCUCUCCUUUUUCGUAGUGGAUAACGAAGUUACACUUACGCUAAUACCGCAUACGACCUUCGGAUGAAAGCAUCCGAUCUUCGUACAUUACUCGAUUGAAUUGGCCGAUGUCGCAUUUGCUAGUCGUCGGGGCAAAGUCCCACCAAGGCGACGCUCCGUAGAGGGUCUGAGAGGAUGAUCAGCCACACUGGAACUGAGACAAGGUCCAGACUACUACGGGAGGGAGCAGUGGGGAAUAUUAGACAAUGGGAGGAAGCAUGAUCCAGCCAUACCGCGUGGGUGAAGAAGGCAUUCGGGUUGUAAAGCCCUUUUGUUGGGAAAGAAAAGCAGAAGGUUAAUACCCCGCUGUUCUGACGGUACCCAAAGAAUAAGCACCGGCUAACUUCGUG
RNAcentral lists this ribosomal RNA (492 nucleotides) under uncultured bacterium. Its description in RNAcentral is "partial 16S ribosomal RNA". It matches the Rfam family "Bacterial small subunit ribosomal RNA", at positions 29 to 507 of the family's 1533-position model. The record is from RNAcentral.